This 1871-nucleotide ribosomal RNA is filed under the name Triticum aestivum (bread wheat). RNAcentral's name for it is "partial small subunit ribosomal RNA". The record is from RNAcentral. Lineage: Eukaryota; Viridiplantae; Streptophyta; Magnoliopsida; Poales; Poaceae.
UCGCCGGCGCGCCUCCACCUCUCGGUCGCCGGUGCGUCUCCACCUCUCGGCCGCCGACGCGCCUCUACCUUGUCCCGGCCGUCCAGGUAAUGCGCGCGCAUCAGUUCGCACAAGACUAGGUCGCCGGGCACCAUUCGCCAUCCGGCGCGACGCCAUGGGUAAAGCCAAGAUGGAGCUACCGGUUCUAGCACCGACACCUGCGACGUCAGUCCAUCGAUGUGCUCGGCGCCGUCCACAACUCCAUCGCGCUCGAGCAUACGCUCUAGAUCAUCUUCCACCAUGCUCCGGCCACGGCUCCCCACUGCCAACACAAGAUCCCAACCACUUCUGAAAAAACUGUUGUUAUCUGGUUAGGAGUUCACAUUUGCUAAAUUCCGUAGUUCUUUGGUUCACCAUUGCUAAAUUUUGUAGCUAUCUGGUUAGUAGUUCACCUUUUAUAAAAUAUGUAGUUCUCUAGUUAGAUAAACAGUGGUUAUCUUUGCAGAAACAAUGGUAGUCUACAAUUUCUGUUAUUGGUAGUAGCAGUUCAAUAUAUAUUAGAAGAAGAAAAAAGGAAACAGUGUUGUCUUGCAUGACCACAUGAGGUGUCACCACAAAAGCAGCAGACGAUGUUUGAGGCUGUUUUGUAGGCUGCCACUGUUCUACCUGUCCGAUAACAGUGGCGGCGAGACGAACACCGUGCGCGCACCUGUGUGACAUGAAGCGGAGGCAUCACUAUGGCCACGUACAGAGUGUUGGGACUGCAACAAUUCCCACGGUCCAAAGCGUAGAGGAUGUGCUUGUGAGCUGUGAUGUUCUGAACUUGUGAUAUAUGUAUGCAUGCAUGCUUUGUUUUGUGAUGGAUCACAUAUAGAUCAAUUCUUUUUCUUCUACUGAAAAUCAAUAUGUUCUGCAGCUGCGGCGGUGAGAAGCAGACCCGUUCAUGUUCCUCCAUCUCCCAAGCUAAGUUUUCUGUUGUUUUUGAUGUUAUUCCUAAAAGAAAAUCGUUUAUACAUGGCCAAUGUGAAUGUGCAGUAUGGUGUAGUGCAAAAGAACAGUCACGUGUGUGGUUAAUUAGCUGAGCAUGCAGGGCCUGUUUGAGCUUUAUGUGGAGAACUAGUUGGAUACUACGGUUUUUGGAAAAUCAAGUUGUUCUUUCUUUACAUGAUUUACAAACUCGCAUUGCAUUCUCCUGUUGCUUUACUCUUCCAUCUCAUAUAUAUAUGAUUGAGUUAUCUAAAAGAGCUUCUGUUCCUGCUAUCUACAGAGAUACAUUGUUUUAACUGAAAAAUGAUGUCUCUGGCGGCCACCACUCCUUGGAAAUUUUCUUCCAUCUGCUUGUACGCAGACCAUGGUGCUUGACUUUGUUCUUAUCUUUUUAUUUUUUGCAGCCAGUCAGUGCUUCUUCUUGAUCUCCCGACCACCAGCGCCGCUUCUUCAAAAUGAUGUCUUACACUUGAUCUCUGAACUUCAGCCACCGACCUCCUCUGGUUGGGCCACACCACCACCGGCCCGUCCACAACAGUUGCUGGCAGCCAUCCAAGUUGAGCGCUGAUGGUAGUCCUCUGCGUGCGUCAACGACACUCUCACAAGAAGCUCAAUCAUAUUCAGGGAUGAAAAAGGAGAGAAGCACAGGAAGAGGUGGCAGCUUCGUCCUCUUUUAAACUGAAGUUUUCAUUCAGGUAGUACAUCCACAGCAGCUAGUACAGAAUGCAGAGCAGUGGAUGCAACUACCUAGUAGAAUACUACAGGGAAGCAGGGACGUUCGAUGCUACUGGAUUGUGGAUAGAGGAGUUAAAUUAAGCCCCUGACAUCGUUUCUACAAAUCAGGGGAGCCAGAUCCCUGCUUCAGUAUAUGACUUGUACAAGAAAACAUACACUAAAUGUAGCAG